Molecule: ribosomal RNA, 430 nt
Filed under: uncultured soil bacterium
Lineage: Bacteria
Description: bacterial SSU rRNA
Rfam family: Bacterial small subunit ribosomal RNA
Source: RNAcentral
GAUGAACGCUAGCGGCAGGCUUAAUACAUGCAAGUCGAGGGGCAGCAUGAUCGUAGCAAUACGGUUGAUGGCGACCGGCAAACGGGUGCGGAACACGUACACAACCUUCCUUUAAGCGGGGAAUAGCCCAGAGAAAUUUGGAUUAAUACCCCAUAGUAUAUUGAAAAGGCAUCUUUUUAAUAUUAAAGAUUUAUCACUAAAAGAUGGGUGUGCGGCUGAUUAGGUAGUUGGCGGGGUAACGGCCCACCAAGCCGACGAUCAGUAACUGGUGUGAGAGCACGACCAGUCACACGGGCACUGAGACACGGGCCCGACUCCUACGGGAGGCAGCAGUAAGGAAUAUUGGUCAAUGGACGAAAGUCUGAACCAGCCAUGCCGCGUGGAGGAUGAAGGUCCUCUGGAUUGUAAACUUCUUUUAUCUGGGGACGGA